GAUGAAGAACGUAGCGAAAUGCGAUACGUAAUGUGAAUUGCAGAAUUCAGUGAAUCAUCGAAUCUUUGAACGCACAUUGCGCCCGCCAGUAUUCUGGCGGGCAUGCCUGUUCGAGCGUCAUUACAACCCUCAGGCCCCCGGGCCUGGCGUUGGGGAUCGGCGGAGCCCCCCGUGGGCACACGCCGUCCCCCAAAUACAGUGGCGGUCCCGCCGCAGCUUCCAUCGCGUAGUAGCUAACACCUCGCGACUGGAGAGCGGCGCGGCCACGCCGUAAAACACCCAACUCUUCUGAAGUUGACCUCGAAUCAGGUAGGAAUACCCGCUGAACUUAAGCAUAUCAAAGCGGAGGA
RNAcentral lists this unclassified non-coding RNA (350 nucleotides) under soil metagenome. RNAcentral's name for it is "partial contains 5.8S ribosomal RNA, internal transcribed spacer 2, and large subunit ribosomal RNA". The stretch from base 1 to 120 matches the Rfam family "5.8S ribosomal RNA", at positions 35 to 154 of the family's 154-position model. The record is from RNAcentral.